This 1066-nucleotide ribosomal RNA is filed under the name Bacillus sp. XG06290170. RNAcentral's name for it is "bacterial SSU rRNA". It matches the Rfam family "Bacterial small subunit ribosomal RNA", at positions 39 to 1083 of the family's 1533-position model. Lineage: Bacteria; Bacillati; Bacillota; Bacilli; Caryophanales; Bacillaceae. The record is from RNAcentral.
CAGGCGGGUGCUAUACAUGCAGUCGAGCGAACAGAGAAGGAGCUUGCUCCUUCGACGUUAGCGGCGGACGGGUGAGUAACACGUGGGCAACCUACCUUAUAGUUUGGGAUAACUCCGGGAAACCGGGGCUAAUACCGAAUAAUCUGUUUCACCUCAUGGUGAAACACUGAAAGACGGUUUCGGCUGUCGCUAUAGGAUGGGCCCGCGGCGCAUUAGCUAGUUGGUGAGGUAACGGCUCACCAAGGCGACGAUGCGUAGCCGACCUGAGAGGGUGAUCGGCCACACUGGGACUGAGACACGGCCCAGACUCCUACGGGAGGCAGCAGUAGGGAAUCUUCCACAAUGGGCGAAAGCCUGAUGGAGCAACGCCGCGUGAGUGAAGAAGGAUUUCGGUUCGUAAAACUCUGUUGUAAGGGAAGAACAAGUACAGUAGUAACUGGCUGUACCUUGACGGUACCUUAUUAGAAAGCCACGGCUAACUACGUGCCAGCAGCCGCGGUAAUACGUAGGUGGCAAGCGUUGUCCGGAAUUAUUGGGCGUAAAGCGCGCGCAGGUGGUUUCUUAAGUCUGAUGUGAAAGCCCACGGCUCAACCGUGGAGGGUCAUUGGAAACUGGGAGACUUGAGUGCAGAAGAGGAUAGUGGAAUUCCAAGUGUAGCGGUGAAAUGCGUAGAGAUUUGGAGGAACACCAGUGGCGAAGGCGACUAUCUGGUCUGUAACUGACACUGAGGCGCGAAAGCGUGGGGAGCAAACAGGAUUAGAUACCCUGGUAGUCCACGCCGUAAACGAUGAGUGCUAAGUGUUAGGGGGUUUCCGCCCCUUAGUGCUGCAGCUAACGCAUUAAGCACUCCGCCUGGGGAGUACGGUCGCAAGACUGAAACUCAAAGGAAUUGACGGGGGCCCGCACAAGCGGUGGAGCAUGUGGGUUUAAUUCGAAGCAACGCGAAGAACCUUACCAGGUCUUGACAUCCCGUUGACCACUGUAGAGAUAUGGUUUCCCCUUCGGGGGCAACGGUGACAGGUGGUGCAUGGUUGUCGUCAGCUCGUGUCGUGAGAUGUUGGGUUUA